RNAcentral lists this ribosomal RNA (506 nucleotides) under Escherichia coli. RNAcentral's name for it is "bacterial SSU rRNA". It matches the Rfam family "Bacterial small subunit ribosomal RNA", at positions 50 to 540 of the family's 1533-position model. The record is from RNAcentral. Lineage: Bacteria; Pseudomonadati; Pseudomonadota; Gammaproteobacteria; Enterobacterales; Enterobacteriaceae.
AACACAUGCGAGUCGAACGGUAACAGGAAACAGCUUGCUGCUUUGCUGACGAGUGGCGGACGGGUGAGUAAUGUCUGGGAAACUGCCUGAUGGAGGGGGAUAACUACUGGAAACGGUAGCUAAUACCGCAUAACGUCGCAAGACCAAAGAGGGGGACCUUCGGGCCUCUUGCCAUCGGAUGUGCCCAGAUGGGAUUAGCUAGUAGGUGGGGUAACGGCUCACCUAGGCGACGAUCCCUAGCUGGUCUGAGAGGAUGACCAGCCACACUGGAACUGAGACACGGUCCAGACUCCUACGGGAGGCAGCAGUGGGGAAUAUUGCACAAUGGGCGCAAGCCUGAUGCAGCCAUGCCGCGUGUAUGAAGAAGGCCUUCGGGUUGUAAAGUACUUUCAGCGGGGAGGAAGGGAGUAAAGUUAAUACCUUUUGCUCAUUGACGUUACCCGCAGAAGAAGCACCGGCUAAACUCCGUGCCAGCAGGCCGCGGUAAUACGGGAGGGGUGCAAGCG